ACCCUUAGAUGUCCUGGGCCGCACGCGCGCUACACUGAGUGUCUGAGAUACGAGUCUGCCUGGUCCGGCAAGGUCCAGGUAAUCGCUAAAAGACACAUCAUGCUUGGGAUAGACUAUUGCAAAUAUUAAUCUUGAACGAGGAAUUCCUAGUAAGCGCAAGUCAACAGCUUGCGUUCAUUACGUCCCUGCCCUUUGUACACACCGCCCGUCGCUACUACUGAUUGGAUGUUUAAGCGAGGUUCUCGAACUGCUAGCGACAUAGCUUCGGUGAGGUCGCAGUGUGGGAAGUGAACCUAGCUUUGGUGUCUAGAGGAAGUAAAAGUCGUAACA
RNAcentral lists this ribosomal RNA (330 nucleotides) under uncultured eukaryote. Its description in RNAcentral is "partial 18S ribosomal RNA". It matches the Rfam family "Eukaryotic small subunit ribosomal RNA", at positions 1469 to 1796 of the family's 1831-position model. The record is from RNAcentral.